AAUAGGUUGCGAAGCCGCGAGGCGGAGCCAAUCCAGCCAAAAACUUCCCUCAGUUCAGAUUGCAGGCUGCAACCCGCCUGCAUGAAGUUGGAGUUGCUAGUAAACGCAGGUCAGCCAUACUGCGUUGAAUACGUUCCCGGGGCCUU
This 146-nucleotide ribosomal RNA is filed under the name uncultured Anaerolineaceae bacterium. RNAcentral's name for it is "partial 16S ribosomal RNA". It matches the Rfam family "Bacterial small subunit ribosomal RNA", at positions 1241 to 1382 of the family's 1533-position model. Lineage: Bacteria; Bacillati; Chloroflexota; Anaerolineae; Anaerolineales; Anaerolineaceae. The record is from RNAcentral.